UGAAACCACGCAUCAGAUUCUCUUGAUUGUUCCGUGGGUGAGAUUGAUGCGGGUAGCAGUACAGACCAAACCUGAGAAGCAAAACAACAAUCACGAAGAACAUGCGAGAGAGAUUGAGGAUAGGAGAGACAAAAGGAUCACUUUAGAAACAACAGACUUUGCAGGAUGAAAAACACGUUUGUUGCGAGCUUGCCAGAGAAUCCAGAGAGUAACUCCAGCUAACUGUCGGUCCGACG
RNAcentral lists this long non-coding RNA (236 nucleotides) under Linum usitatissimum (flax). RNAcentral describes it as "long non-coding RNA (LUSI_LNC007360)". Lineage: Eukaryota; Viridiplantae; Streptophyta; Magnoliopsida; Malpighiales; Linaceae. The record is from RNAcentral.